Long non-coding RNA from Acinonyx jubatus (cheetah), 1002 nucleotides. RefSeq lists it as uncharacterized. The transcript has 2 exons. The record is from RefSeq and is a predicted model, not a curated record. Lineage: Eukaryota; Metazoa; Chordata; Mammalia; Carnivora; Felidae.
UCUCUGCCCGACGUCUCUGCCUGACUGCUCCUUCACAGAUUCCUCUCCUCCUUCUUCUUCGGAAAUAAUUUACCUACUUUUUUUAUUACGAGUUAAGACCAAUCCAUAGCAAACAAGUCAUAUGGUCUGGGAAGGCGUGAAGUCCUCCUCCCCCACCACCACUCCCACGCCAGUGCUGGGAGCCGGGGGCUGCGGGGAGGGCUUGGGGCAGGCCCGGUGCUGGGACCAAGGCUACUGAGGGAGACGGGCCGGGCUGUGCAGAGCCACCGGCACCUGGGCGGGAGGCUUGGGCCUGCCCUGUAGGGUCAGCAAGAGUUCCAAGUAGAAGGAGAACGUGCCCGGAUCUGCAUUUCCAGAAGAUGCCACCUGCUACAGGGUAGAAGACAGAAGAGGGGGGCAGUGAGUGGCACUGGUGGCACCAGGAGACAGGCUCUGACCUGAGAGCAGGCCCCCGGUGGAGCCCUGCUGGCAGCUUCAAAACACGAGAAAGAAAAAAAGAAAAAUGAUAGAAUCAAAAGGAGAAAUACACGAAUCCACAGUACGGUUAGGGACUUCAGCGCUCCUCUGUCAAUAAUUGAAACAACAAAGAGACAAAAACCCAGCAAGGAUAGAAGAAGUUGUCGAACAACACCAUCAACUAACUUGGCCAAACUGUCAUUUACAGAACACUCCACCUGAUAACAGCAAAAUACACAUUCUUCCUGGGCAGGCGCUGAACAAAACAGACCAUAUAUCCUGGGCCAUAAAACUAACCUUAACAAAUUUAAAAGGACUGAAUUCAGGGGCGCCUGCGCAGCUCAGUAGGUUAAGCGUCCGACUUCAGCUCAGGUCACGAUCUCAUGGUUCGUGGGUUCGAGGCCCACGUCAGGCACUGUGUUGACAGCGUGGAGCCUGCUUGGAACGCUCUCUCCCCCUCCCUCUCUCUGCCCCUUCCCCACUUUCUCUCCCUCUCCCAAAGUAAAUAAAAAGUUUAAAAAUACAUAAAUAAAAGGACUGAAUUCA